RNAcentral lists this unclassified non-coding RNA (213 nucleotides) under Hevea brasiliensis (rubber tree). The record is from RNAcentral. Lineage: Eukaryota; Viridiplantae; Streptophyta; Magnoliopsida; Malpighiales; Euphorbiaceae.
CUACCCCAACUCUCCAUCACUGAUGUCAAACAAUACAACGUCAGCCACUCGUUUUGCUUUACCCUUCCCAAAUCCUAUCUUUAAUGGCCUUGAUGGGAUUUCACUAAGUAGUAGUUAUUCUAGCUCAAGAAUCUGUGGUAAGUUUGAGAAAUUCCAAGGUGAAUCUCCCCUGCAGGACAAUCUGAAGAGACUACCCAGUUACAGGCGCAGCCG